GAUGAACGCUGGCGGCGUGCCUAAUACAUGCAAGUCGAGCGAACAGACGAGGAGCUUGCUCCUCUGACGUUAGCGGCGGACGGGUGAGUAACACGUGGAUAACCUACCUAUAAUACUGGGAUAACUUCGGGAAACCGGAGCUAAUACCGGAUAAUAUAUUGAACCGCAUGGUUCAAUAGUGAAAGACGGUUUUGCUGUCACUUAUAGCUGGAUCCGCGCCGCAUUAGCUAGUUGGUAAGGUAACGGCUUACCAAGGCAACGGUGCGUAGCCGACCUGAGAGGGUGAUCGGCCACACUGGAACUGAGACACGGUACAGACUCGGACGGGAGGCAGCAGUAGGGAAUCUUCCGAAAUGGGCGAAAGCCUGACGGAGCAACGCAGCGUGAGUGAUGAAGGUCUUCGGAUCGUAAAACGCUGUUAUUAGGGAAGAACAAAUGUGUAAGUAACUAUGCACGUCUUGACGGGACCUAAUCAGAAAGCCACGGCUAACUACGU
RNAcentral lists this ribosomal RNA (496 nucleotides) under uncultured bacterium. RNAcentral's name for it is "partial 16S ribosomal RNA". It matches the Rfam family "Bacterial small subunit ribosomal RNA", at positions 28 to 506 of the family's 1533-position model. The record is from RNAcentral.